Long non-coding RNA from Vombatus ursinus (common wombat), 1586 nucleotides. RefSeq lists it as uncharacterized. The record is from RefSeq and is a predicted model, not a curated record. The transcript is spliced from 4 exons. Lineage: Eukaryota; Metazoa; Chordata; Mammalia; Diprotodontia; Vombatidae.
GCAAAGUCCGCUACAGCCGUGGUCUUCAGGAAUUGAAAGGGUAGAGGGUAGGAGGGAGAAGGUAAUGGAGGGGCAUCCUUCCCCUUCCUCUCAGCCCCCCCCCCUUCACUAGGGGAAAUGGAAAAUUUGUGAGGGGACAGAGGGGUAGAGCAGAUGUCGCAGUGUCUGAAACCUGGUGACAAAGGGAGGGACCGGCAGGGAGAUUCCUUUUCGGCUCCUACGCCUUUCCUGGGUGCUUGGCCCUUUAAACUCGAGACCCAGCCGGGAUGUCAGGGAUGGGGAAAGAGGGAAACCAGAGGGACCACAAGCUUUCUGAGUCGGGGGGAGAAAGAAGGGAGAUAGGUAGCAUCGGCCAGAGUUGAGGGCAGGGCCGGCCCCGGCUCGUUGGAGACUGAAAGAUUGGGGGUUUCUGUUUUAGGGAAGGUUUGAUGUGAGGACUAUAAGAGAUCACCUGCUUGCCUUGGUCUACUGUUCCCCAUCAGUGUGUGUGUGUGUGUGUGUGUGUGUGUGCGCGCGCGCGCGCGCGGGCGCGCGCUCGAGCAUUCGUUUAUAGGUGUGUGUUUAAUAUCCGUGUCUGGUUAGUUGUGUGUGUGUUUGUAUGUUUAUGGAUUGAUUUAUUUUAUUUGUGUGUGCCAACGUGUUUAUGGCUAUGUCUGGCCUGUUUGUAUUUCGGUGUUUCUGUUGGUGUCUGUGUGCUCAUCUGCAUGCUUAGAUGUAUUGUGAUGUAGGUAUCCAUGGGCUAACCGGUGUGUGCUGCGUCUGCCUGUUUACUUCUAUCAAAUUCCCACAUUCCUCCUUCCCCCUCAUACUGGGCAAACUCUGGUCCACUCUCUGCUUUCCCCACUUGCACCCUUGCUUUUUUGGCUUUAAGGCUCUGGGUGCAGUUGCAUCCUUGAUAAAUUCUGGUGGGGCUUUCUUCAUCUUUAACCAAUAAAGGGUUAACUAAGGGGCAGACAGAGAGAUCCCUCUCUCCCCUCCAUUUUGCAGGCUCAUUCCUAAUCUCUGAUCUCUAAUCUCUCUAUGUCUACUGAGUCCAGCCUUGAUCCAUCCCUCAAAAGGGCUCCUUUUGGAAGAGAAAUGGAGGAUUGCCCUGUCGCAGAAAUAUAAGGACUGAGGUCAGAUGUACAGAGUGAACAACCUACAAGACUAAUCUGAUUGGGAAACAACUAAGAACCUUCUGGUAUUGCCUGGUUGUUCCAGGCUUCUCAACCUCCGAAGAGAUCCAGCCAGCACCCAUGAGACCCCAGCCUUGGGGCCUCAGAGGAGGCUCUGGAAUGAUACUCAGAACUGCUCAUCUGACCUGGAAAAAAGGCAGGAGGGUGGGAGGUGAGAGGUUUGCUUCUCUAGCUGGACUGGACCCCAUGGCUGGGCCCACAGUGAGCUGGGCUCAGUAAAGACGUGUUGACCUACUGAACUCCCAUUUAAAGGAUCCUAGGGGGAGAGAUGGGAAGAUGGAAGACCGGAGUGGCUAUUCCCAGUGAGCAUGCCACUCAUGGGCCCCACUCAUGGCCACUCAUAGGCUAGUAGGGGAAUGAGGUACAUGCGUAAUAAUUAUAAUACAAAAUAAAAUUUGAUACAUGCAUAUG